GACAAAUAUAUAUAUAUGCAUGCAUGCAUUGAUUUGUUACUUGUGCUAGGAGACUUAUUUCCAUCCUUGUUCUCUCACAUCCUAUUCUUGUUCUUGUUAAAAAUCAUUCUAUGUUCUUGUCUCACAUCAUUGUUAUUACCACUAGUAUUAGUAUUAUGUUAGGUCUAUUUGUAGACACUUUCAAACUAUUGUUGCUUUAAUUAGGUAUUUAGACUUAGUUCGAUGUCUUUAUUAUAGGACCACCGUGAGGAAUUUAUUUGGAUCUCAAUUGGGAUUAGACUAUUGUCAAAUCAGGAGCAGUAGACCCAGGGAUCUUAGAAGGCUUCCAGUAGAUGUCUUCUUUGGAAUUAUGUCUUAUAGCUUAUGUCUUUGCAUCUGUUGUAUUAUUGUCUAAGAACCUCCUUGUAGGUCAUGUUCUAUUUCUUUUGCCUUGUAUUUGGGUUUGGUUGUAAACCUUAAGUUGUACUCUUAUUUGAUAUUUUGUCAGUUAUUUUCUACUCCUAGUCUGUGUUUAGGUUUUGAGGCCUUGCAGGUUCACUGGGCCCCGCCCUGUGGGUCUGUGGCCGUUUGUCAGCGCACAAGGUUCGGGACGUGACAGUUUAGCCAUAGAUGGCCCAGAUUUUCACAGCAAAAGUCCUAAAGAAAUGAAAGAUUUAAUACUGAAAAUCCAGGUUAAGAAGCAUGGACACGGACAUGGUGACAC
Long non-coding RNA from Dioscorea cayenensis subsp. rotundata (Guinea yam), 703 nucleotides. RefSeq lists it as uncharacterized. The transcript is spliced from 3 exons. Lineage: Eukaryota; Viridiplantae; Streptophyta; Magnoliopsida; Dioscoreales; Dioscoreaceae. The record is from RefSeq and is a predicted model, not a curated record.